This 497-nucleotide ribosomal RNA is filed under the name uncultured bacterium. RNAcentral's name for it is "partial 16S ribosomal RNA". It matches the Rfam family "Bacterial small subunit ribosomal RNA", at positions 28 to 507 of the family's 1533-position model. The record is from RNAcentral.
GAUGAACGCUGGCGGCGUGCCUAAUACAUGCAAGUCGAGCGAACAGACGAGGAGCUUGCACCUCUGACGUUAGCGGCGGACGGGUGAGUAACACGUGGAUAACCUACCUAUAAGACUGGGAUCACUUCGGGAAACCGGAGCUAACACCGGAUAAUAUAUUGAACCGCAUGGUUCAAUGGUGAAAGACGGUUUUGCUGUCACUUAUAGAUGGAUCCGCGCCUCAUUAGCUAGUUGGUAAGGUAACGGCUUACCAAGGCGACGAUGCGUAACCGCCCUAAGAGGGUCAUCGACCACCCUGGCACUGCGCCACGGCCCCGACUACGAGGGAAGGCAGCAGUCGCAACACUGCGGAAUUGGACGACAGCCCAACAUAGCCAUACCGCGUCUGUAACGACGGUGUAGGGAACGGAAGCCUGAGGUAUCAGGGAAGAGCUGGUAUGUAGGUUACUGUGUAGUCCAGGACGGUACACACUGAGAAAGCCACGGCUAACUACGUG